GUGGGGAAUAUUGCGCAAUGGGGGAAACCCUGACGCAGCAACGCCGCGUGAUUGAAGAAGGCCUUCGGGUUGUAAAGAUCUUUAAUUCGGGACGAAUUUUGACGGUACCGAAAGAAUAAGCUCCGGCUAACUACGUGCCAGCAGCCGCGGUAAUACGUAGGGAGCAAGCGUUAUCCGGAUUUACUGGGUGUAAAGGGCGCGCAGGCGGGCCGGCAAGUUGGAAGUGAAAUCCGGGGGCUUAACCCCCGAACUGCUUUCAAAACUGCUGGUCUUGAGUGAUGGAGAGGCAGGCGGAAUUCCGUGUGUAGCGGUGAAAUGCGUAGAUAUACGGAGGAACACCAGUGGCGAAGGCGGCCUGCUGGACAUUAACUGACGCUGAGGCGCGAAAGCGUGGGGAGCAAACAGGAUUAGAAACCCCAGUAGUCC
RNAcentral lists this ribosomal RNA (426 nucleotides) under uncultured bacterium. RNAcentral describes it as "bacterial SSU rRNA". It matches the Rfam family "Bacterial small subunit ribosomal RNA", at positions 354 to 796 of the family's 1533-position model. The record is from RNAcentral.